Molecule: ribosomal RNA, 247 nt
Filed under: uncultured bacterium
Lineage: Bacteria
Description: partial 16S ribosomal RNA
Rfam family: Bacterial small subunit ribosomal RNA
Source: RNAcentral
AUACGUAGGGGGCAAGCGUUGUCCGGAAUUACUGGGCGUAAAGGGUGCGCAGGUGGCCUGAUAAGUCAGAUGUGAAAUACCGAUGCUUAACAUCGGGGCUGCAUUUGAAACUAUGAGGCUGGAGUGCAGGAGAGGAAAGCGGAAUUCCUAGUGUAGCGGUGAAAUGCAUAGAUAUUAGGAGGAACACCAGUGGCGAAGGCGGCUUUCUGGACUGUAACUGACACUGAGGCACGAAAGCGUGGGGAGC